This is a long non-coding RNA of Acanthaster planci (crown-of-thorns starfish), 936 nucleotides long. Lineage: Eukaryota; Metazoa; Echinodermata; Asteroidea; Valvatida; Acanthasteridae. The record is from RefSeq and is a predicted model, not a curated record.
CAAAUAUCGCAAACCUUGCUCCCGCUUUCCGGCCGAGAAUGCCCCUGCAAAAAGUUCUUUGUGAAUUUGUUCAAACCACAGACUGAAAUGAAAUGAGUGUCUGUUAACGCAAGCAAUCGCGUCGAAGUACUGUGAGUGGUCCUUCUGGGCGUUGAGAAACCUCUUUUGAAUGAGAAUGCACCGACGUUUUUCGACCGACGUCGCUCCGUUUACUUUCGUUUCGUGAAUUGGUGUCUGCUGGUCGAUGGUGAAUAAGUUCUGCUAUGAUGUCGGGAGAUUGUCGGGAAUUUCUGGCUACAACUUACAUUUCAGUCAUUUACAGUUCAUGGCUUUGUGGAUACAAGGAGCUCCUGGUUAAUGUUUUGAUCACGGGGAACGGAGUUUCCAUAUGCGACCGUGCAACCUGAUGAUAUCUGACAGACGGGACACAUUGCACCCAAGCACGGUAUGGCUCAGCAAACUGUGACUGGCCUAUUGACCGGGGCAGGACGGGAAUUUCCACAUUUUGGGACGACGGUAUAAAACAGUAACCGUUACCCACUCCACGCGAUCAGUCGUGUGUGACCACCGCAACAGCCAUACACCUGCAUACCAAGUAGUAUAAUCAAAGCGAACAGAGAUGUAAUGGAUAAAUUAAUCUUCGUGUUGAUGUGAGAACUGGACGGGAGUAGCUUGACUUGCCCUGUUACCAGCAGAAGCACUGACCUGAAUCAGGAGACCCUUGGAAUGGUGACUCAAAUGAAAUAAAAGGUAGGUUUGAACCCUCAGGUAAGUAAUCGACUAAGGGAAUCAAUGUUCUACUCCGAAUCCUCAUUAAUUUUUGGCCGGAAACGAGUCUGAUGUGAAGGUCAUAUUAACGUGAGAGUCAUGAUGCUUUGUUUUAGUGCACGUGAACAACUGAAACAUUGUCAUUCUUACUUUGCAGAUCAAUUACUC